UGGGGGAUAUUGCACAAUGGGCGAAAGCCUGAUGCAGCGACGCCGCGUGGGGGAUGAAGGCUUUCGGGUUGUAAACCCCUUUCGCUAUCGAACAAGGCCCGCUUAGGGUGGGUUGAGGGUAGGUGGAGAAGAAGCGCCGGCUAACUACGUGCCAGCAGCCGCGGUAAUACGUAGGGCGCGAGCGUUGUCCGGAAUUAUUGGGCGUAAAGGGCUUGUAGGCGGCUUGUUGCGCCUGCUGUGAAAACGCGGGGCUUAACUUCGCGCGUGCAGUGGGUACGGGCAGGCUUGAGUGUGGUAGGGGUGACUGGAAUUCUAGGUGUAGCGGUGGAAUGCGCAGAUAUCUGGAGGAACACCGAUGGCGAAGGCAGGUCACUGGGCCAUUACUGACGCUGAGGAGCGAAAGCAUGGGUAGCGAACAGG
RNAcentral lists this ribosomal RNA (420 nucleotides) under bacterium. Its description in RNAcentral is "partial 16S ribosomal RNA". It matches the Rfam family "Bacterial small subunit ribosomal RNA", at positions 355 to 776 of the family's 1533-position model. The record is from RNAcentral.